This is a long non-coding RNA of Uranotaenia lowii, 291 nucleotides long. RefSeq lists it as uncharacterized. The transcript is spliced from 3 exons. Lineage: Eukaryota; Metazoa; Arthropoda; Insecta; Diptera; Culicidae. The record is from RefSeq and is a predicted model, not a curated record.
AAAUUAAUGCGUGUAUUGUGAAAUUUAUCCGAGUUGGAUCGGCAAGAAAGCCAGAAAAGAUCGAGUGAUCGGGAGUCACGUAAAACCGUGAUUUAUAGUCGUUUGCGCAUUCAAGAAAGUGUUCUUCGAGUUGCAUGCUGCAUGUCAUUGACCUCGUCGAAACUUCUUGAGCGCCGAACGUUCACCGAUCACGAAAUGAAACAUCCGAUAAUAAGUGGAUCUGCGUAAACUCCAACUAGAACACCAUAAAUUUACCGUCUACCGAUAAGUGAACGAAGCAUUUAACAACGA